GACGAACGCUGGCGGCGUGCCUAACACAUGCAAGUCGAGCGAAUGAAGUUCCUUCGGGAACGGAUUUAGCGGCGGACGGGUGAGUAACACGUGGGCAACCUGCCUCAUAGAGGGGAAUAGCCUUCCGAAAGGAAGAUUAAUACCGCAUAAGAUUGUAGCUCCGCAUGAAGCAGCAAUUAAAGGAGCAAUCCGCUAUGAGAUGGGCCCGCGGCGCAUUAGCUAGUUGGUGAGGUAACGGCUCACCAAGGCGACGAUGCGUAGCCGACCUGAGAGGGUGAUCGGCCACAUUGGGACUGAGACACGGCCCAGACUCCUACGGGAGGCUG
Molecule: ribosomal RNA, 326 nt
Filed under: uncultured Bacillota bacterium
Lineage: Bacteria; Bacillati; Bacillota
Description: bacterial SSU rRNA
Rfam family: Bacterial small subunit ribosomal RNA
Source: RNAcentral